This 98-nucleotide signal recognition particle RNA is filed under the name Desulfuromonas sp. Its description in RNAcentral is "signal recognition particle sRNA small type". It matches the Rfam family "Bacterial small signal recognition particle RNA". Rfam says of the family: The signal recognition particle (SRP) is a universally conserved ribonucleoprotein involved in the co-translational targeting of proteins to membranes. The record is from RNAcentral. Lineage: Bacteria; Pseudomonadati; Thermodesulfobacteriota; Desulfuromonadia; Desulfuromonadales; Desulfuromonadaceae.
AGCCGGGUCCCGCGCAACGGACGGCCGCCAACCCCGUCAGGCCCGGAAGGGAGCAGCGGUAACGGUUUUGCCGUGUGCCGCGGGGGUGCCUGGCUGUC